Molecule: ribosomal RNA, 697 nt
Filed under: Salmonella enterica subsp. enterica serovar Montevideo
Lineage: Bacteria; Pseudomonadati; Pseudomonadota; Gammaproteobacteria; Enterobacterales; Enterobacteriaceae
Description: partial 23S ribosomal RNA
Rfam family: Bacterial large subunit ribosomal RNA
Source: RNAcentral
GGGUUGUGAGGUUAAGCGACUAAGCGUACACGGUGGAUGCCCUGGCAGUCAGAGGCGAUGAAGGACGUGCUAAUCUGCGAUAAGCGCCGGUAAGGUGAUAUGAACCGUUAUAACCGGCGAUUUCCGAAUGGGGAAACCCAGUGUGACUCGUCACACUAUCAUUAACUGAAUCCAUAGGUUAAUGAGGCGAACCGGGGGAACUGAAACAUCUAAGUACCCCGAGGAAAAGAAAUCAACCGAGAUUCCCCCAGUAGCGGCGAGCGAACGGGGAGGAGCCCAGAGCCUGAAUCAGCAUGUGUGUUAGUGGAAGCGUCUGGAAAGGCGCGCGAUACAGGGUGACAGCCCCGUACACAAAAGCGCAUGUGCUGUGAGCUCGAUGAGUAGGGCGGGACACGUGGUAUCCUGUCUGAAUAUGGGGGGACCAUCCUCCAAGGCUAAAUACUCCUGACUGACCGAUAGUGAACCAGUACCGUGAGGGAAAGGCGAAAAGAACCCCGGCGAGGGGAGUGAAAAAGAACCUGAAACCGUGUACGUACAAGCAGUGGGAGCACCCUUUGGGGUGUGACUGCGUACCUUUUGUAUAAUGGGUCAGCGACUUAUAUUCUGUAGCAAGGUUAACCGUAUAGGGGAGCCGGAGGGAAACCGAGUCUUAACCGGGCGUUAAGUUGCAGGGUAUAGACCCGAAACCCGGUGAUCU